UGUAUAUAAGCCUUGUGUAACUUUUGUGGCAUUAAGAGCAAAAAAUGUGCAGACGUCUACUGGCAGCGUUCAGCGUUUUAGCAUUGGCAUUGCUGGCUCGAGAGAGUCACGCAAGGGCCUGCAAUCGGCGGAGUACCGUCAUUCAGAUCAAGAUCCCCAACCGGACCAACGUCAGCGUAAACUAUCCCAACCAGGACCAGCCGGUCACCUUCCUCCCCUUCCCUUAUGCCACAGCCGGCAACGCACCCACCUACUACACUUGCCAAAAUGGCGCCUGUCAGACAAGUGGCCGACCAGCAUCAAUGUCAAAUAAACCCCAAUCUCCACCAGCAUUGAGGACGAACAUUAUAAUAGAAAUAAACGGGAAGAAGCCCAACGGUAGAAGCAGUAGCAACGCUACCGAUCCUAACUCUGAGCUGAUUGUGAUCCAAAGUAAUUCGACAGCGACCAGUGAUAGUACUGCCGUCGCUAACGGCAACGGCAUUGCCGCCUCCACAUCAUCCGCGACGUCAACUACUAAUACAGAUGUCAUCGCAGCAAUUGACGACCCAUCUGGCAACGGCCCCCCAACUAACACCAUACUGAUCGACUCCGAUUCUGAGAGUACAUCAAAAUCUACUGCGAAAGCUAGUGCUGGCCCAUCAGCCAAUAAACCUAGUGCUUCCCAAAAACCAUCCCCAACCCAACCGAAACCAACCCCAACUCCUAAGAAACCAGAAAAGCCAGCCUCGGUACCAGUGAAUCCAGCGCCGGCACCAGAGAAACCAGCACCGACACCAAAUAAACCAAUUCCGGUACCAGUAAAACCAGCUCCAAAACCAGAGAAACCAGCGCCGGCACCAGAGCCAGCACCAGAAAAAUCAGCUCCCGCGCCAGAGAAACUAGCACCCGCUCCAGAGAAACCAGCACAGAAACCAGAGAAACCAGCUCCUGUAGCAGGAAAUCCAACUCCGAAACCAGAAAAUACAGCUCCCGUAGCAGAGCAAUCAGUACCCGCUCCAGAGAAACCAGCUCAGAAAUCAGAAAAACCAGCUCCUGUAGCAGAGAAUCCAGUUCCGAAACCAGAAAAAACAGCUCCCGUAGCAGAGCAACCAGUACCCCCUCCAGAGCAACCAGUACCCCCUCCAGAGCAACCAGUACCCCCUCCAAAGAAACCAGUAUCCGCUCUAGAUAAUCCUACUCCAACAGCAGAAAAGCCUACUCAAGAUGAGAUUUUUCGCUCCCCCGAUAAAUCUAAUCCAGCACCUGAGAAACCAUCUCCUACACAACCAAGAGACUCUGAAACAAAAAGUUCAGCUCCAGAGAAUAAUGGAAAUGAUGAGCCAAAGAACGAUAAGAAGGAGGAUCCCCGUCCUAAUACUCCUGAGAAUGUAACAGCUAUAGCCCAAGCUAACUCUGAUGACUCAGAUCAGCGCGGAGAAGGGGGAUCAGCUAACGCGCAAGCGGUAGCAAUUAGUAGUUAAAGACCAAGGACAUAUACACACGGGGUAAUUUACUAAGGGUAUUUGAGUCAGUUACUAUGCAACGUGACGAGGUAAUAAUCAUUGUUCAAAAUUAAAUAGGCAUCCCAACACUUUGGUAAGACUGUCAAGUCAAUGUGUUUCUUGUACAGAAAAUCAAAUUCACUUGAAUGAUUAAUAAUCUCCCUCAGUCUCCCAUUUAAAAAUACGUACGUCGCAUCGCAUCGCCUAGUCACGUCGCAAUGUUAACUGACAUCAGUUACUUAUAUGGGCGAUAUGGAUGUUUCUUUGUUGAUUUUUGUAAACGUAAUGGUUCAACGGUAAAAGUUUAAAAUAUUUA
Molecule: RNA transcript, 1800 nt
Organism: Aricia agestis (brown argus)
Lineage: Eukaryota; Metazoa; Arthropoda; Insecta; Lepidoptera; Lycaenidae
Gene name: proteoglycan 4-like
Exons: 4
Source: RefSeq, a predicted model, not a curated record